RNAcentral lists this ribosomal RNA (116 nucleotides) under Actinomycetes bacterium. The record is from RNAcentral. Lineage: Bacteria; Bacillati; Actinomycetota; Actinomycetes.
UUCCGUGGCCAUGGAGAGGGAGAUACACCUCUUCCCAUUCCGAACAGAGAAGUUAAGCCCCUCAUCGCCGAUGGUACUGCAGCGUAAGGCUGUGGGAGAGUAGGACGCCGCGGACC